GGAACAUUAGCUCAGUUGGCUAGAGUACUACGUUGACAUCGUAGGGGUCACUGGUUCGAGCCCAGUAUGUUCCACCA
This 77-nucleotide transfer RNA is filed under the name Tissierellia bacterium. Its description in RNAcentral is "tRNA-Val". It matches the Rfam family "tRNA". Rfam says of the family: Transfer RNA (tRNA) molecules are approximately 80 nucleotides in length. Their secondary structure includes four short double-helical elements and three loops (D, anti-codon, and T loops). Further hydrogen bonds mediate the characteristic L-shaped molecular structure. tRNAs have two regions of fundamental functional importance: the anti-codon, which is responsible for specific mRNA codon recognition, and the 3' end, to which the tRNAs corresponding amino acid is attached (by aminoacyl-tRNA synthetases). tRNAs cope with the degeneracy of the genetic code in two manners: having more than one tRNA (with a specific anti-codon) for a particular amino acid; and 'wobble' base-pairing, i.e. permitting non-standard base-pairing at the 3rd anti-codon position. Lineage: Bacteria; Bacillati; Bacillota; Tissierellia. The record is from RNAcentral.